GGGUUGUGAGGUUAAGCGACUAAGCGUACACGGUGGAUGCCCUGGCAGUCAGAGGCGAUGAAGGACGUGCUAAUCUGCGAUAAGCGUCGGUAAGGUGAUAUGAACCGUUAUAACCGGCGAUUUCCGAAUGGGGAAACCCAGUGUGUUUCGACACACUAUCAUUAACUGAAUCCAUAGGUUAAUGAGGCGAACCGGGGGAACUGAAACAUCUAAGUACCCCGAGGAAAAGAAAUCAACCGAGAUUCCCCCAGUAGCGGCGAGCGAACGGGGAGGAGCCCAGAGCCUGAAUCAGUGUGUGUGUUAGUGGAAGCGUCUGGAAAGGCGCGCGAUACAGGGUGACAGCCCCGUACACAAAAAUGCACAUGCUGUGAGCUCGAUGAGUAGGGCGGGACACGUGGUAUCCUGUCUGAAUAUGGGGGGACCAUCCUCCAAGGCUAAAUACUCCUGACUGACCGAUAGUGAACCAGUACCGUGAGGGAAAGGCGAAAAGAACCCCGGCGAGGGGAGUGAAAAAGAACCUGAAACCGUGUACGUACAAGCAGUGGGAGCACGCUUAGGCGUGUGACUGCGUACCUUUUGUAUAAUGGGUCAGCGACUUAUAUUCUGUAGCAAGGUUAACCGAAUAGGGGAGCCGAAGGGAAACCGAGUCUUAACUGGGCGUUAAGUUGCAGGGUAUA
This 677-nucleotide ribosomal RNA is filed under the name Escherichia coli. RNAcentral describes it as "partial 23S ribosomal RNA". It matches the Rfam family "Bacterial large subunit ribosomal RNA", at positions 1 to 711 of the family's 2925-position model. Lineage: Bacteria; Pseudomonadati; Pseudomonadota; Gammaproteobacteria; Enterobacterales; Enterobacteriaceae. The record is from RNAcentral.